UGAAUAAGGUUCGUGAGCUUAGUCAAAGCUAGAAAAUGUGAAAGCAGAACAAGCUUUAGAAAGAGAAAAGUCUCAGAAAGAGCUAAAGCAGCUAAAUGCAGAAAAUGCCAAGUUCCAAUAUCGUAUAACACAUCUUGUUUGAGCACUAAAGGAUGCUGAUUGUAUGUUACAAUCUAAGUGAGGGACUUUUGGGACUUAGCUCCAUUUAUCUCUAUCAAGUUGGAAUA
Molecule: non-coding RNA, 227 nt
Organism: Coffea arabica (coffee)
Lineage: Eukaryota; Viridiplantae; Streptophyta; Magnoliopsida; Gentianales; Rubiaceae
Source: RefSeq, a predicted model, not a curated record